GAUGAACGCUGGCGGCGUGCCUAAUACAUGCAAGUCGAGCGGUAAGGCUUUACACAGUUUGUUUAAACGGCAAAGACAGGUCGCGAUUACGAAGUAAUCGCAUCUAAAAACGAAGAAUAAACACUUCGGUAGCGAUGAUAUUUUUCGCAUAGCGAAAGUAACAUCGGGUCUAAACCACUCUUUAUCUGGCUAGAUAAACGAGUUUGAACAAAGUGUGUAGAGUACACGAGCGGCGGACGGCUGAGUAAUGCAUUGGAACGUACCCCAAACUGAGGGAUAAUCCACCGAAAGGUGGACUAAUACCGCAUGUGCCAUUCGUGGUAAAGCUACGGCGGUUUGGGAGCGGCCAAUGUUCGAUUAGCUAGUUGGUGAGGUAAUAGCUCACCAAGGCUACGAUCGAUAGCGGGUCUGAGAGGAUGAUCCGCCAGACUGGAACUGAGACACGGUCCAGACUCCUACGGGAGGCAGCAGUAGGGAAUUUUCCACAAUGGGGGCAACCCUGAUGGAGCAACGCCGCGUGCAGGAUGAAGGCCCUCGGGUCGUAAACUGCUUUUCUCUGUGAUGAUUAUGACAGUAGCAGAGGAAUAAGGAUCGGCUAACUCCGUGCCAGCAGCCGCGGUCAUACGGAGGAUCCAAGCGUUAUCCGGAUUUACUGGGCGUAAAGAGUUGCGUAGGCGGUUUACCAAGCAAGGCAUGAAAUAGUGUGGCUCAACCAUACUGCUAUGUUUUGAACUGGUAGACUAGAGGAUGAGAGAGGUUAUUGGAAUUCCAAGUGUAGGAGUGAAAUCCGUAGAUAUUUGGAGGAACACCGAUGGCGUAGGCAGAUAACUGGCUCAUUCCUGACGCUCAGGCACGAAAGCGUGGGUAGCAAACGGGAUUAGAUACCCCGGUAGUCCACGCCGUAAACUAUGGAUGCUAGCUGUACACCGUAUCGACCCGGUGUGUAGCGAAGCUAACGCGUUAAGCAUCCCGCCUGUGGAGUACGAGCGCAAGCUUAAAACAUAAAGGAAUUGACGGGGACCCGCACAAGCGGUGGAGCGUGUUGUUUAAUUCGAUGGUAAGCGAAGAACCUUACCAAGGCUUGAAAUCCUGAGAAGCACUGCGAAAGCAGAGUGUGCCUUCGGGAACUCAGUGACAGGUGUUGCAUGGCCGUCGUCAGCUCGUGUCGUGAGAUGUUGGGUUAAGUCCCGCAACGAGCGCAACCCCUAUGUUUAGUUGAAUUUUUCUAAACAGACUGCCCUGGUAACAGGGAGGAAGGAGGGGAUGAUGUCAGGUCAGUAUUACCCUUACGCCUUGGGCUACAAACACGCUACAAUGGCCAGUACAAAGGGUAGCCAAGUCGCGAGACGGAGCAAAUCCCAUCAAAACUGGUCUCAGUUCGGAUAGCAGGCUGAAACUCGCCUGCUUGAAGCUGGAAUCGCUAGUAAUGGUAAGUCAGCACAUUACCGUGAAUACGUUCCCGGGUCUUGUACACACCGCCCGUCAAACCAUGAAAGUGGCCAACACCCGAAGUCCGAUUUAUCGGCCUAAGGUGGGGGACAUGAUUGGGGUU
This 1552-nucleotide ribosomal RNA is filed under the name uncultured bacterium. Its description in RNAcentral is "bacterial SSU rRNA". It matches the Rfam family "Bacterial small subunit ribosomal RNA". The record is from RNAcentral.